This 468-nucleotide ribosomal RNA is filed under the name uncultured bacterium. Its description in RNAcentral is "partial 16S ribosomal RNA". It matches the Rfam family "Bacterial small subunit ribosomal RNA", at positions 28 to 507 of the family's 1533-position model. The record is from RNAcentral.
GACGAACGCUGGCGGCGUGCUUAACACAUGCAAGUCGAACGGUGACGCUCCAGCUUGCUGGUGUGGAUCAGUGGCGAACGCGUGAGUAACACGUGAGCAACCUGCGCUUGACUCUGGAAUAAGCGCUGGAAACGGCGUCUAAUACUGGAUACGAGAAGGGCCCGCAUGGGCACCUUCUGGAAUGUUUUUCGGUUGGGGAUGGGUUCGCGGCCUAUCAGCUUGUUGGUGAGGUAAUGGCCAACCAAGGCGCCGACGGGUAGCCGGCCUGAGAGGGCGACCGGCCACACUGGGACUGAGACACGGCCCAGACUCCUACGGGGGGCAACGGUGGGGAAUAUUACACAAUGAGCGAAAGCCUGAUGCAGAGACGCCGCGUGAGGGAUGACGGCCUUCGGGUUGUGAACCUCUUUCAGCAAGGAAGAAGCGAUAGUGACGGUACCUGCAGAAGAAGCACCGGCUAACUACGUG